RNAcentral lists this small RNA (108 nucleotides) under Marmota monax (woodchuck). Lineage: Eukaryota; Metazoa; Chordata; Mammalia; Rodentia; Sciuridae. The record is from RNAcentral.
GCCAGGUGUGGUGGCACAGGCCUGUAAUUCCAGCAACUUGGGAGGCUGAGUCAGGAUGAUUGCAAGUUCAAAGGCAGCCUUAGCAACUUAGCAAAACCCUGUCUCGAU